Non-coding RNA from Acanthosepion pharaonis, 113 nucleotides. NCBI's taxonomy places the organism in Eukaryota, Metazoa, Mollusca, Cephalopoda, Sepiida, Sepiidae. The record is from the annotation of a GenBank genome assembly.
UUACGGCCACAUCACAUUGAAACACUGGUUCUCAUAUGAUCACCAAAGUUAAGCAACAUUGAGCCUGGUCAGUACCUAGAUGGGUGACUGCUUGCAAAUACAAUUGGCUGUAA